GAUGAACGCUGGCGGCGUGCCUAAUACAUGCAAGUCGAGCGAACAGACGAGGAGCUUGCUCCUCUGACGUUAGCGGCGGACGGGUGAGUAACACGUGGAUAACCUACCUAUAAGACUGGGAUAACUUCGUGAAACCGGAGCUAAUACCGGAUAAUAUAUUGAGCCGCAUGGUUCAAUAGUGAAAGACGGUUUUGCUGUCACUUAUAGAUGGAUCCGCGCCGCAUUAGCUAGUUGGUAAGGUAACGGCUUACCAAGGCAACGAUGCGUAGCCGACCUGAGAGGGUGAUCGACCACACUGGAAGUGAGACACGGUCCAGACUCCUACGGGAGGCAGCAGUAGGGAAUCUUCCGCAAUGGGCGAAAGCGUGACGGAGCAACGCCGCGUGAGUGAUGAAGGUCUUCGGAUCGUAAAACUCUGUUAUUAGGGAAGAACAAAUGUGUAAGUAACUAUGCACGUCUUGACGGUACCUAAUCAGAAAGCCACGGCUAACUACGUG
Molecule: ribosomal RNA, 497 nt
Filed under: uncultured bacterium
Lineage: Bacteria
Description: partial 16S ribosomal RNA
Rfam family: Bacterial small subunit ribosomal RNA
Source: RNAcentral